UAGUCUGCCAUGGUGACAUCAGUUGUCAUGACACAGCCAACUUGGUCACCCUCUUGGACCGUAUCCUCUUCUGCUUCAAUAUUUCCAUCCUUCUCCGACUGAGGAACAGUAUUCGUGGCAGUCUCCUCUUCAAUUACCCCUUGUGGCAGUUCUGCACCCUCAUUCAUUUCCAGAUGACCUUCAUUGAUGGGUGGUGUUGUGUUGCCAACUUUAGCCACCUCAAUUUUGUUUGCUGCAUUUGAGUCAUAAAUUGCGUCUCCCAAAGGGCAUUCAACAAAUCCCGUUUCAUGGUUACUCUUCUCAGUGACCAAUGGAAGCUCAACAGUUCCCUCUAGGCCAGAACCAGAAUUAGGCUCACUCGUGGCCACCUGGCUAACAUCCAGGUCUCCAUUGCCUUGCUCAUCUUUUGAUUCUUCCAACACAGGCCCCAUGUCUGCUGCAUGAGGCUCUACACUUUUCUCUUGUACUCCAAUGGUGUCAUUUUCUGAUUUAACUUGGAGUUCCUCCUCAAAAGACAUGGGUUCUGAAGUGUCCUCACCUUGGGAUUCAACUGAUGCAUCUGCCUCCGGUGGACUCUGAGAUGGCUCUGUCAAAUUGGAAGUUUUAUCAGAGUUGUCUUCUGAAGAGUUAUCCUGAAGACUUUCUGUUGCCUCCUUGUCUUUCUCCUCAUCUUUUCCACCUGCCAUGCAUACAUCAUUUGUUAAGUUCUCCACAGACUUAGCAGUUGACUCCUCAACAACAGACACUUCAGGCUUCUGGUUCAUUAGAGAAUCAAGCUUCUCUUGCAGGCUUACAAGCUCCCUUGCCAAUGAUUUUCUGAAAUUCCUGAGAUUUGGGUGCAAGCCCUGCUAAACACAACAACCAGUUAAGAAACUGUAUAAGAAAAAGCUGAAAUAUAGGGAACUUAGAAUCUUAGUAAGCACGAAUACUGAGAAGGGCAGAACUCCCAAACUGCAUUAACAAAAGGACUAAUGCAUUUUAAAACCCCAUAUAUACUUCAAGACCAAUUACUUCAGGUUUCUUUACAUAUAAGCAUGUGUGUCUGUGUGCAUGGGCUGCUUAGGGGACUGAUUUCAAGAUCCCCUGUUUUUGAUAUUAAGACGUGGACCUUUAUAAGUUUUAUUCGUGCAUAUGGGAUCUGUAGAACAUAUUGGUUGAUGUAGUUGAAAUCUAAGUUCAUGUCUAAGAAGCCUAAUUAGGCCUUCUAUCCAUUUUCAACCAAUGGGAACAAGCAUAAAAUACAUGACAAAAGGAAAGAAGCUAAAAGUGUAAGCAAUACACAUACCUGAAUGGCAUCCAAUUUUAGCAGGAGGCUCAUUAUGGUUUCUCCAAUUAUCACUCUUUGUCUAUUGUCUCUCUGAAGAUCAGAGAGAGAUUCCAGGGCCUGAAUGCGAUUCCUGAUCUCAUCUGCUUCCUCACGAACUUUAGCCAGUUGCUUCAAUUUCUUCAAUGGCUCCCAUUUCCUCACUUCAAAUCCACGAUAGGCAGACUGGAUGAUCACUGCAGCUUUUGAAUCAGACAAGUUAUUUUUCUCUGCUUUGGGUGCUUUAUCAGAUUUCUUCUCUUCCACCUCACUCCCCGCUUUAUCUUCUCCUAUCUUGCAUUUACAACCAUCUGAUUGGAUUUUAUCCAUUGCCUUCUGCUCUUCAAUUGCCUCCUCAGAUAUCUUACUUUGAGCAUUUCUUUCCCCAUCCUUUUUAGCUUGAUACUCACCACCAGCAACCCCAGGUUUUUCUGCAGUUAAGUCAUCAGACACCUCUGUGCGAGGAUCAAUUGGCAAGUUCACAGGAGACUGUGAAUGAGUCGGAGUCGGAAUCUGAUUCUGAGACCCACAGUUAGAAAUGUCGUCAACUUUUUGUUCAGCUGUCUGAUCUACUACCUUAACAACUUUUAGCUCCUUUUUGUUUGGCUCCAGUCCGUGGCUCUUGUUAAUGGUAGUCUCUUGAGAGCCUUUCAAUCCUUCUGAAGGAGAAGAAGCCUUUAUAGUGUCAUUUGAUGUCUCUUGUGAUUUCCCUCUCUGACCAGGAGGACUAGGGGACCUCGAACUGCCAUUCCCAUUCUUCUUCUUAGGCAAGGGAUCUACUCUCAGACAAACAGGAGGUAACUUGGCCAUCCUUGGGGAGGACGGAGACUGCCUUUUAGCACUGUCUGAAGGUUUCUUCUUUCCACCAUCUUCUCCAUGUUUAGUGGCAUUGCCUUCCCACUUCCCCACAAAGUUUUCUGAGGUAUUCUCUUCCCCAUGUGCUUCUCUUUCCUUCACAGGAAUAUUGUUUUGAUUACCAUUUUUCUCCAUGAUCUUCAAGCCACCCUGGCCUCCAGAAUCUUCUUCAGUUGCUCUAGGUUUGUUUCCACCAUCACCAACUUCUGGGAGCUUCACAGGAAUAAUCUUGAAAUUCAAACUUGGCUCUUCCGCAGGCUUAGAAGCAGAGUUGUUCGGCUUGUGCUCCUUCCCCUCACCUUCCUCUGUUUUUUCAAAAGGAGGCAUCCAAAUUAUAGGAAAUGGGAAACGAGCAUUCUUGUCUUCACUUUGCUGAUUUCUCGUCCCUUCUCCACCCUGCUUCAAAGAUCUGAAGCCGUUUGAAUCAGGUGGAAACCACCUGUUCCAAACGCCAGGUUCCCACUCAAUAGAUUUGUUGAAACUCUUUGGUGACGUUGCAUCAUGUGCUUCCUGGCGAUUCUCACUCUGCUCCUUCGUAUCUGGAUCGACUGGUGCUCUAUUCUCCCCAUUCUUCAUGUACACAGGUGGAAUCCACACAAUUGGAUAUGGGCAAUCUUUCAACCCAGCUGGAACCAAGGAUUCCCUCUCCUUCUUUCCAUCAUCUGCCUCGUGUUCUUCAAUCUUAACAUUGUUACCUCCCUUCCGAUUAAACCCAUGAUUAGGGAGCCCGCAACAAUGAUGAUUUCCUGAAUCAUUCUUCUCAUAUUCAGGUCUAGGCUGCUCCAUGGAACAAUAAGGAGCAGGGGCAUGAUGAACAGGGUAUGGCUCCGGGUACAUGGGACGGCACCCAUGCCAAUGAAAUGGCAUUGGUGGUGCCAGCUGAUGGUAAGGUAGGAAACUAUAGUAACCAGGGAAG
RNAcentral lists this long non-coding RNA (3074 nucleotides) under Vitis vinifera (wine grape). Its description in RNAcentral is "long non-coding RNA (VVIN_LNC005227)". The record is from RNAcentral. Lineage: Eukaryota; Viridiplantae; Streptophyta; Magnoliopsida; Vitales; Vitaceae.